This 559-nucleotide ribosomal RNA is filed under the name bacterium amp-d-14. RNAcentral describes it as "bacterial SSU rRNA". It matches the Rfam family "Bacterial small subunit ribosomal RNA", at positions 49 to 604 of the family's 1533-position model. The record is from RNAcentral.
CUACACAUGCAGUCGAGCGGUAGAGAGAAGCUUGCUUCUCUUGAGAGCGGCGGACGGGUGAGUAAUGCCUAGGAAUCUGCCUGGUAGUGGGGGAUAACGUUCGGAAACGGACGCUAAUACCGCAUACGUCCUACGGGAGAAAGCAGGGGACCUUCGGGCCUUGCGCUAUCAGAUGAGCCUAGGUCGGAUUAGCUAGUUGGUGAGGUAAUGGCUCACCAAGGCGACGAUCCGUAACUGGUCUGAGAGGAUGAUCAGUCACACUGGAACUGAGACACGGUCCAGACUCCUACGGGAGGCAGCAGUGGGGAAUAUUGGACAAUGGGCGAAAGCCUGAUCCAGCCAUGCCGCGUGUGUGAAGAAGGUCUUCGGAUUGUAAAGCACUUUAAGUUGGGAGGAAGGGUUGUAGAUUAAUACUCUGCAAUUUUGACGUUACCGACAGAAUAAGCACCGGCUAACUCUGUGCCAGCAGCCGCGGUAAUACAGAGGGUGCAAGCGUUAAUCGGAAUUACUGGGCGUAAAGCGCGCGUAGGUGGUUUGUUAAGUUGGAUGUGAAUCCCCG